This 275-nucleotide ribosomal RNA is filed under the name uncultured bacterium. RNAcentral's name for it is "partial 16S ribosomal RNA". It matches the Rfam family "Bacterial small subunit ribosomal RNA", at positions 338 to 605 of the family's 1533-position model. The record is from RNAcentral.
CCUACGGGGGGCUGCAGUGGGGAAUCUUCCGCAAUGGACGAAAGUCUGACGGAGCGACGCCGCGUGAGUGAUGAAGGCCCUUGGGUCGUAAAGCUCUGUCAUCAGGGACGAACGGUCACGUCAGGAAAUGGGCGUGAAUUGACGGUACCUGAGAAGGAAGCCACGGCUAACUACGUGCCAGCAGCCGCGGUAAUACGUAGGUGGCGAGCGUUGUCCGGAAUUAUUGGGCGUAAAGCGCGCGCAGGUGGGAUCUUAAGUCUGUUCUGCAAGUUCGG